This 263-nucleotide ribosomal RNA is filed under the name uncultured bacterium. Its description in RNAcentral is "partial 16S ribosomal RNA". It matches the Rfam family "Bacterial small subunit ribosomal RNA", at positions 334 to 589 of the family's 1533-position model. The record is from RNAcentral.
UCGUCCUACGGGAGGCAGCAGUAGGGAAUCUUCCACAAUGGACGAAAGUCUGAUGGAGCAACGCCGCGUGAGUGAAGAAGGGUUUCGGCUCGUAAAGCUCUGUUGGUAGUGAAGAAAGAUAGAGGUAGUAACUGGCCUUUAUUUGACGGUAAUUACUUAGAAAGUCACGGCUAACUACGUGCCAGCAGCCGCGGUAAUACGUAGGUGGCAAGCGUUGUUCGGAAUAACUGGGCGUAAAGGACGCGUAGGCGGUUAAAAAAGGU